This is a long non-coding RNA of Hyaena hyaena (striped hyena), 525 nucleotides long. RefSeq lists it as uncharacterized. NCBI's taxonomy places the organism in Eukaryota, Metazoa, Chordata, Mammalia, Carnivora, Hyaenidae. The transcript has 4 exons. The record is from RefSeq and is a predicted model, not a curated record.
CUGAGCAUGAAUUGGGGUUGUUGAGUGUCAUGGAUGGGAUUCUUUGUUCAACAGGAAUUUGUGCCUGCACUGGCCUGGCCAGAGACACACUGAGGAUUUUGUGACCUGUUAUAAACACAAGCAUAUACAGGGAUAUACUAUAUUUGAAGGAGUAUAUACUACUCAGGCUCUUGACUGGAGAGAGAGCAUGCUAGGGAAGGAGAGGAGCAGAGGAAGAGGGAGAGAAAGAAUAUUAAGCAGGCUCCAUGUUCAGCAUGAAGCUUGAUGCACGGCUCAUUCCCACAACCCUGAGAUCAUGAUGUGAGUCAAAGUCAAAAGUCAGACACUCAACUGAUUGAGCCACUCAGUCAGAUCUCUCAUGGUGUGCAGAGUGGGUUGCAUUGUGUACUCCCAAAAUUCAUGUCCAUCCGGAACCUCAGAAUAUGACCAUAUUUGGAAAUAGGGUGUUUGAAGAUAUAAUUAAGAUCCACAGAUAGAAAAGAUGGCCAAGGAUUGCCAGCAAUCACCAGAAGCUCUCCUCCAGGA